CCUACGGGAGGCAGCAGUGGGGAAUCUUGCGCAAUGGGCGAAAGCCUAACGCAGCCAUGCCGCGUGAAUGCUGAAGGUCUUAGGAUUGUAAAAUUCUUUCACCGGGGACGAUAAUGACGGUACCCGGAGAAGAAGCUCCGGCUAACUUCGUGCCAGCAGCCGCGGUAA
RNAcentral lists this ribosomal RNA (168 nucleotides) under uncultured bacterium. RNAcentral's name for it is "partial 16S ribosomal RNA". It matches the Rfam family "Bacterial small subunit ribosomal RNA", at positions 338 to 523 of the family's 1533-position model. The record is from RNAcentral.